UAGGGAAUUUCCACAAUGGACGAAAGUCUGAUGGAGCAACGCCGCGUGAACGAUGAAGGUCUUCGGAUUGUAAAGUUCUGUUGUCAGGGACGAAUAAGUACCGUUCGAACAGGGCGGUACCUUGACGGUACCUGACGAGAAAGCCACGGCUAACUA
RNAcentral lists this ribosomal RNA (156 nucleotides) under Bacillus sp. 21c. Its description in RNAcentral is "partial 16S ribosomal RNA". It matches the Rfam family "Bacterial small subunit ribosomal RNA", at positions 356 to 503 of the family's 1533-position model. Lineage: Bacteria; Bacillati; Bacillota; Bacilli; Caryophanales; Bacillaceae. The record is from RNAcentral.